RNAcentral lists this ribosomal RNA (388 nucleotides) under uncultured bacterium. Its description in RNAcentral is "bacterial SSU rRNA". It matches the Rfam family "Bacterial small subunit ribosomal RNA", at positions 29 to 441 of the family's 1533-position model. The record is from RNAcentral.
AACGAACGCUGGCGGCAGGCCUAACACAUGCAAGUCGAACGCCCGUAGCAAUACGGGAGUGGCAGACGGGUGAGUAACGCGUGGGAACGUGCCCUUCGGUUCGGAAUAACUCAGGGAAACUUGAGCUAAUACCGGAUACGUCCGUAAGGAGAAAGAUUUAUCGCCGAAGGAUCGGCCCGCGUCGGAUUAGCUAGUUGGUGAGGUAACGGCCCACCAAGGCGACGAUCCGUAGCUGGUCUGAGAGGANGAUCAGCCACACUGGGACUGAGACACGGCCCAGACUCCUACGGGAGGCAGCAGUAAGGAAUAUUGGUCAAUGGACGAAAGUCUGAACCAGCCAUGCCGCGUGGAGGAUGAAGGUCCUCUGGAUUGUAAACUUCUUUUAUCU